UACGGAAGGCAGCAGUGGGGAAUAUUGCACAAUGGGCGCAAGCCUGAUGCAGCCAUGCCGCGUGUAUGAAGAAGGCCUUCGGGUUGUAAAGUACUUUCAGCGGGGAGGAAGGCGAUGUGGUUAAUAACCGCGUCGAUUGACGUUACCCGCAGAAGAAGCACCGGCUAACUCCGUGCCAGCAGCCGCGGUAAUACGGAGGGUGCAAGCGUUAAUCGGAAUUACUGGGCGUAAAGCGCACGCAGGCGGUCUGUUAAGUCAGAUGUGAAAUCCCCCGGGCUUAACCUGGGAACUGCAUUUUGAACUGGCAGGCUUGAGUCUCGUAGAGGGGGUAGAAUUCCAGGUGUAGCGGUGAAAUGCGUAGAGAUCUGGAGGAAUACCGGUGGCGAAGGCGGCCCCUGGGACGAAGACUGACGCUCAGGUGCGAAAGCGUGGGGAGCAAACAGGAUUAGGAUACC
RNAcentral lists this ribosomal RNA (455 nucleotides) under uncultured bacterium. RNAcentral's name for it is "bacterial SSU rRNA". It matches the Rfam family "Bacterial small subunit ribosomal RNA", at positions 340 to 786 of the family's 1533-position model. The record is from RNAcentral.